GUGAGAAAAAUAAUUGUGUAGAUUAAUCAGUUGUAAGAAAUAAAGCAGAGAAGGAAGGGCUAUAUCCAGAAGAUUCAGGAGAGGGAAGUUUGCAAGACUAACAAAACCGAAAGAAGAAAGGGGGAUGUCGGGUUAGAAGACUACAUGCAGGCAUACAGGAAUUGGGGAGGUCUUGGGACAGUCUGCCUGGUGAAUUGAAGAAGCUGAGUGAAGAGCGGUAAGAAAAGGGUUGGAGGUAUUGCUAAGCUGCCCAGGCUGGUCCUGAAGUUAUGACACUCCUGCCUCAGCCUUCCAGAGUGCCGGGAUUACAGAGACAGGGGCUUGCGAUGUAGUUGACCUUCAACUCACUGUGUAGCCUAAGCUGGCCUCAAACUCGCAGUGAUCUGCCUGCCUCAGCCUGCCAGGAAGCAGAGUGAGAAGGGAGGAGCCGGGGUCAAGAAUACACCUUUCCAGGUAACAGCCAAAGACUCACCUGCAAGGAGUACCCCCAGUACAUUCAGCUGUGAAUGCAUCAGUAGAUGAAUCUAAUGAGUUUUGCACCCCAUGAUCCAGUCACUCUCCAAAUACACGAGACUUUUGGGGAACAUUUUCCAUCUGAACCAUGACACAAAUAUAGCCAGUGAAGAGAAAAAGAGAUGAUAGGAAAGUAAAUAGAAUUGAAGGCAGAGAAAUAGGAGGACUUGAAUAUGAUGGUAAGAAGUAUGGAAAAUCAGAGAUUUUUCAAAAAGAAGAUAAUCACAGAAAAUGAACUUUGGAGACAAAGUUUGGAUGCUCCUUUCAAAAAAUUUCUUUAAUAACAAAACCUAGGCCUUAGAAUGUCUCAUCACUGUCUAUAUAAAAUUAUUUUUGUGUGUACCUUGUUGAGACUAAGUUUUGGUUAAUAAGAUACAGAAGAAAUGUUGCAAGGUAUUCCAAGACUUCUUUUUUUUUUUUUUGGUGCUGGGUAUUGAACUCGGGACCUUAUGCUUGCGAAGCAGGCAGUGGAAUCACUGAACUAAAGCCCCAGCCCUAGGACUUCUACUUAAUGGAAAGAAAUUAACUCCUCUUUCGCUGUUCUCCAUCCUGCUGUCUGAACAUAGCUAUGAUAGCUGGAGCUCUGGGAGCCUUACUGUGCAAUUAUGAUGAGGUUCACACAAUAAAAGGAAGGAAAGUAUGAGUUGGAAGAAGCCUUAUGUCUUCAUAAAGUUGCCUCACAAGCUUUGAACUGCUUAACUCUAAACUUUUAUGUGGGAAAUAAACAUCUCUUAUUUAAGCCAUUGUCACUUUUCUGCUGUGUGUAGCUGGAGUAACCCUUUUUCUCUACAACCAAACUGCCAAUCCUAAGCCCUCCAUUAUUAAAAUUUUGGAGCCCAUGAUUUUAACAGGAAAUUUGAUAUAUUUGCAAGGGUGAAAUGAUUAAGUUUUAAAUUUGGGAAUGUGGAACAUUUUAAAAGAUCUACUCUAAGAAAAAAAAAAAAAAAGAGCACUCUCCCCAAAAGAAAAAAACCUCUUGACUUUCCUCCUGACACAGUUUCCAAGUAUCUCACACUGAUUUCAGCUAAUUUGUUGUCAGUGUUUAGGAAUUUUCCUAAGCAAGGUCAUAAAGCUCACGUUUUGUUUUGUUUGGUCUUGAACAGAAAUAUGACCAACUUUACUUCUUCAUAUGUACAUCUUGAUACAUUCUUUAACAAAUAUUUACCAUGCAGUGACAUCCUAAUUUUAUUCUUAGGCUCUUUCCUUCCUGUUUGUUGUGAUUUGCACUGAAACACUGGGCUCUGAAUUCACCCCUGCUCCCUUUCUUCCUAGACAAACUUGUCACAGUUUGAAUACAUGGUACUUCAUUUAAAUUUUUAAUUGUUCUCAAACUGGUCCAGAAGUGCCAAAGUGGUUGCAAAGGAGGAUAAAAGACUAGGAGGAAUGUCUCCAAGCAAAACAUGAAGCUGAUUAUUCGAUGUGCUUGACCAUAUUAAGAAAUGUUUCAAAAGUGUACCAUUUUUUUCCCUCAGGAAGCUUGGCGGUGAAUCAAUGUUUGGUACACAGAACACUAAGCCUGGGCGCGCGCGCGCACACACACACACACACACACACACACAUCUUGUUGGAGAAUGUUGCUUUAGAUGUGCCAGCCAAAUAAGCUUCGGUGUUAAAGCUAAACUCUAGAAGUAGGCCAGGCAACCCUCUCAGUCACAGAAGGACUGGGAGAAUCAUGAUCGGUGCAGUUUGCUCCCAAAAGGAAUGUUAUGGUUUGUGUUUCGAUGUCUUCCCAAAGCCUCAUAUGAAUGAGGUGGGACUUUCUUUUUCAGAGGUAGUUGAAUCUGGAAUGUGUGAUGCUGGGGUUAAGGGCGUGUGAUUACUAAACCACUACAUGUGAGUGAUUAGUUUGGCACCACCCUUACCCUGGUAGUCUGAAUAAGAUAAAAGGGACAGAGAGAUGUUAAAGUCUCUCAUUACCUUUGCUGCUUUGUGCGUGCUGUGUUUCUCUUCUGCGAUGCUUGUUUGCCAUCCCUGUCUUCGAGCCAGCUGAUUAUGGACUGAAACCUCUAUAAACUGUAAGCCAAUAAACCCUUCCCUUUUAACUUUGGGUGUUGGGUAUUUUGUCUCAACAACAAGAGAAAAGUAACUAACACAAGGAAGAACAGAGCUCACAAUUAUUCUUCCCAAAUUUACCUGCCUGAUAAAUUGCUCUGCCUCCCCAGGAAUGGAGCAAGGUAAAGAGCAAAGAGAAGCCAGGAUAUUAUUUAGGGAAGUUGUCUCUUCAAAGAAAACAGAAUUAGGGAAAAGUAUUUUCCUUGGAUAGUAUGCAAGUCAUCUAGCCUCUUUUGUGGCCUAAUUUUUUUUGCCAUCCUGGGAAUUGAACCCAGGACCUUGCACUUGCAAGGCAGGCACGGUGCCACUGAGCUGAACCCUUGGCCCCUUAUGCCCUAAUUCUUAAGCUGUUAUUCAUCUUCCAAAGAUCACAAAAGUAAAAUGUAUUAAACAUGAAAAUUAAUAUACGUCCUAUAACUAGUUACCAACAACUAGUAUUUAAUAAGCAUCUAAGAGGUUAAAGAAACAGUUCUAAGCCUUUCACACGAACUAACUCAAAUCUCAAAACAGUAUUAUUACUUUUAAUUUACUUUGGUUUUUGUUUUUGGUACUGGGGAUUGAAUUCGGUCUUUGUGCUUGUGAGGCAGGCGGCAGAACCACUGAGCUAAAUCCCCGGGUAUUACUUUUAAUUUAAAAAGAAAGAAACUGAGUCCCCAACGUUAAGGAACUUGUUUACACUCACAUAGUGAGCAAGUGAAUGAGUGUGACCUUAACUGCAUUCUCAGUGAUCCCAUUCAGUAAAUCCUACAUGCCAGGGCACUGACUUAUUCCCAAGACUUUCUAAAUUGAAAUGGAAUGUUGCUGACUUUAUGUAUGGCCCUGUACAGAGUGAUGUUAUUGUUAUUAAUGGCUUUGCUUCUAGGGAUAUUCUGGCUCUUCUCCACCUCAGACCUCUCAGGAUGUUGCUUUCAGGAAGUCACUGCCUCACCAUCCCUCCCAUAGGUCUAGGUUUCAUGCUCUUUCCAGCUCCUUUGUUGUAUAAUCUGUUUAAUCAUGUUAUAUAAAAAUUGCUAUUUUAAUUUUCUCCCCUCCCUCUAGUGUCUUUGUGACAGGAACUAUGUUUUCUGUCUCUGAUGGCAUGAGUUACAGAAUAUUACUCACACUGCUUAGAUACACUAGGAACAGUGUAUUUUAUUCUUAAAGACUUCUAUGAUCUUAUCAUUCCCCAACUGCUAGACAGGCAAAAGAAAAAGUAAUAAUUUGAGCCUCAGUUGUUUUAAAACUUAUUUUGAUAAUAUAUUUAUAACAAUCUCUUUAACCUUGUCUCUCUGAAAUAAUUGUUCUAUGUUAUCAAUGGCCCAUCCUC
Molecule: long non-coding RNA, 3871 nt
Filed under: Heterocephalus glaber (naked mole-rat)
Lineage: Eukaryota; Metazoa; Chordata; Mammalia; Rodentia; Bathyergidae
Description: lncRNA (ENSHGLG00000038114.1)
Source: RNAcentral